This 251-nucleotide ribosomal RNA is filed under the name uncultured bacterium. RNAcentral describes it as "partial 16S ribosomal RNA". It matches the Rfam family "Bacterial small subunit ribosomal RNA", at positions 57 to 305 of the family's 1533-position model. The record is from RNAcentral.
GCAAGUGGGACGAAGGUUGCUAUUGAAGUUUUUCGGAAUGGAUUUAGUAAUACUUAGUCGCGGACGGGUGAGUAAUGCGUGAGAACCUGUCCCGAAGAGGGGGAUAGCCCAGGGAAACCUGGAUUAAUACCCCGUAAGCCUACGGGUGAAAGGGAGAAAUCCGCUUUGGGAGGGGCUCGCGUCCUAUCAGCUAGUUGGUGAGGUAAUGGCUCACCAAGGCUAAGACGGGUAGCCGGACUGAGAGGUUGAAC